RNAcentral lists this RNase P RNA (394 nucleotides) under Verrucomicrobiota bacterium. Its description in RNAcentral is "Verrucomicrobia bacterium (microbial mat metagenome) RNase P RNA component class A". It matches the Rfam family "Bacterial RNase P class A". Rfam says of the family: Ribonuclease P (RNase P) is a ubiquitous endoribonuclease, found in archaea, bacteria and eukarya as well as chloroplasts and mitochondria. Lineage: Bacteria; Pseudomonadati; Verrucomicrobiota. The record is from RNAcentral.
GCCGUUUCCUGGACGGUCGCAGUCGGACGCAAGUUCGGCUGAGGAAAGUCCGGACACCGUAGGGUAACGUGCCUCGUGAAAAGUGAGGACAGGGAAUUCGCGAGGAUUCUUUGAUGGAAAGUGCCGCAGAAAAUAUACCGCCGAUGGUCCUGUUCGCAGGAAUCAGGUAAGGUUGAAAUGGUGGAGUAAGAGCCCACCGCGCCAAGGGCAACUGAGGUGGCAGGGCAAACCCCACGUGGUGCAAGACAGAACAGGGGAGAGUGACCCGCUCUCAUCUCCGGGUAAUAGUCGCACUCCGCGCAAGCGGGGUCCUGCGCAAGUAGGAAGAGAAAUGAUCGUCGAAGGAAGCCUCGCGCUUCUGGGACAGAAUCCGGCUUACAGGGAAACGGCAACC